AGAGUUUGAUUAUGGCUCAGGAUGAACGCUGGCGGCGUGCUUAACACAUGCAAGUCGAACGGAGUAUUAAGAAUGAAGUUUCGGAUGGAUUUUUAGACUUAGUGGCGGACGGGUGAGUAACGCGUGGGUAACCUGCCUCACACAGGGGGAUAACAGUUGGAAACGACUGUUAAUACCGCAUAAGACCACAGUACCGCAUGGUACAGGGGUAAAAACUCCGGUGGUGUGAGAUGGACCCGCGUCUGAUUAGUUAGUUGGCGGGGUAACGGCCCACCAAGACGACGAUCAGUAGCCGAUCUGAGAGGAUGACCGGCCACAUUGGGACUAAGACACGGCCCAAACUCCUACGGGAGGCAGCAGUGGGGAAUAUUGCACAAUGGGGGAAACCCUGAUGCAAGCGACGCCGCGUGAGUGAAGAAGUAUUUCGGUAUGUAAAGCUCUAUCAGCAGGGAAGAAGAUGACGGUACCUGAGUAAGAAGCCCCGGCUAACUACGUGCCAGCCGCCGC
This 507-nucleotide ribosomal RNA is filed under the name uncultured bacterium. RNAcentral describes it as "bacterial SSU rRNA". It matches the Rfam family "Bacterial small subunit ribosomal RNA", at positions 8 to 518 of the family's 1533-position model. The record is from RNAcentral.